Non-coding RNA from Hymenopellis radicata, 101 nucleotides. Lineage: Eukaryota; Fungi; Basidiomycota; Agaricomycetes; Agaricales; Physalacriaceae. The record is from the annotation of a GenBank genome assembly.
GCAUUAAUGGGGUAGUGGCAACCUGGGUCGUUGCCAUCAAAAAAAUAUAGUCGAUUCCGUGCUUCUUCGACCCGCCGGGGGUUCGAUUCCCCCUUAAUGCA